CCUACGGGAGGCAGCAGUGAGGAAUAUUGGUCAAUGGACGAGAGUCUGACCCAGCCAAGUAGCGUGAAGGAUGACUGCCCUAUGGGUUGUAAACUUCUUUUAUAAAGGAAUAAAACGAGGCACGUGUGCCUUUUUGCAUGUACUUUAUGAAUAAGGAUCGGCUAACUCCGUGCCAGCAGCCGCGGUAAUACGGAGGAUCCGAGCGUUAUCCGGAUUUAUUGGGUUUAAAUGGAGCGUAGAUGGGUUGGUAAGUCAGUUGUGAAAGUUUGCGGCUCAACCGUAAAAUUGCAAUUGAUACUGGCAGUCUUGAGUACAGUUGAGGUAGGCGGAAUUCGUGGUGUAGCGGUGAAAUGCGUAGAUAUCACGAAGAACCCCGAUGGCGAAGGCAGCUUACUAAACUGUGACUGACAUUGAUGCUCGAAAGUGUGGGUAUCAAACAGGAUUAGAUACCCCUGUAGUC
RNAcentral lists this ribosomal RNA (460 nucleotides) under uncultured bacterium. RNAcentral's name for it is "partial 16S ribosomal RNA". It matches the Rfam family "Bacterial small subunit ribosomal RNA", at positions 338 to 795 of the family's 1533-position model. The record is from RNAcentral.